AUUGAGGGAAGGAGGUGAGGGGGCUCAGCUUCCCACCUGCCCAGGGGGUGGGCCUUCUGGAGGCCACGCCUCCACCCGCAGAUGGAGGGCUGGAUCUGCAGGGUCCUCUGUGCUCACUCUACAGGGAGGACCCUGGGGCUCAGACCCGCCCGGCCCCACGGCCAGGACUCUGAGAGUGGGACCAGCACUUGAGCUCCAGUUCUGCUGAGUCCACAGAGCCUUCUGCUCCUUCUGGAGCUUCCUCCUCGUCGCACCUCAGAAUCUCUGCACUCUACCCUCUGAGUGCAGAGCUCUGGGAGGUGACUCCCAGGAGGCUGUCGUUAAUAACACUCCUAGGGAAUCUAUCUGCAGCUGUGAGUCCCUGGCUCAUCCAGGGCCUUCCCUGGACAAAGGGGAGGAAGCUUUACAACAUUCUGUGGUGGAUGUAUCCUUGUCUCCAUCUCACCCAGGGGAAACUGAGGCACAAAAUCAUAUCAGAGUCCUAUGGGCUGUGGAAGCUGGGGCCUCAUGGACCAGGGAAUUACUGCUAAUUCUUAGAGAUACCAUAGAGAUUCCUGGGAGCUUUUCAUUAUACAAACUAACCACUCC
This is a long non-coding RNA of Bos taurus (domestic cattle), 588 nucleotides long. Lineage: Eukaryota; Metazoa; Chordata; Mammalia; Artiodactyla; Bovidae. The record is from Ensembl.